GAAGAACUUUAUGGAGAAGGGUAGGUGGGCAGAUCCUAUGGGGUCAAAUCCGCAUUCAUAUGGACUUGCUUUUUCUGCAUAGGUGUUUAAUUGGGGUAAUCAGAAUGCGAUUAAUACGGGUAGUGUGGAUAGGAGAAAUCUGAAGAGCACACUUG
This is a long non-coding RNA of Lynx canadensis (Canada lynx), 155 nucleotides long. RefSeq lists it as uncharacterized. The transcript is spliced from 3 exons. Lineage: Eukaryota; Metazoa; Chordata; Mammalia; Carnivora; Felidae. The record is from RefSeq and is a predicted model, not a curated record.